RNAcentral lists this ribosomal RNA (253 nucleotides) under uncultured bacterium. RNAcentral describes it as "partial 16S ribosomal RNA". It matches the Rfam family "Bacterial small subunit ribosomal RNA", at positions 524 to 776 of the family's 1533-position model. The record is from RNAcentral.
UACGUAGGGUGCAAGCGUUAAUCGGAAUUACUGGGCGUAAAGCGUGCGCAGGCGGUUCUUUAAGCCAGAUGUGAAAUCCCCGGGCUCAACCUGGGAACUGCAUUUGUGACUGUAGAGCUGGAGUACGGUAGAGGGGGAUGGAAUUCCGCGUGUAGCAGUGAAAUGCGUAGAUAUGCGGAGGAACACCGAUGGCGAAGGCAAUCCCCUGGACCUGUACUGACGCUCAUGCACGAAAGCGUGGGGAGCAAACAGG